UACGAAGGGGGCUAGCGUUGCUCGGAACCACUGGGCGUAAAGCGCACGUAGGCGGACUCUUAAGUCGGUGGUGAAAUCCUGGAGCUCAACUCCAGAACUGCCUUCGAUACUGAGAGUCUCGAGUCCGGGAGAGGUGAGUGGAACUGCGAGUGUAGAGGUGAAAUUCGUAGAUAUUCGCAAGAACACCAGUGGCGAAGGCGGCUCACUGGCCCGGUACUGACGCUGAGGUGCGAAAGCGUGGGGAGCAAACAGG
This 253-nucleotide ribosomal RNA is filed under the name uncultured bacterium. Its description in RNAcentral is "partial 16S ribosomal RNA". It matches the Rfam family "Bacterial small subunit ribosomal RNA", at positions 524 to 776 of the family's 1533-position model. The record is from RNAcentral.